UCACCGGUGAUUUACUUACCUGGGUGAGUCCAUCCUCUGUAGAAGAGGAGGGAAGGACAAAACCUGCAAGAAGAGUAAAACUGAUUAAGAAGUGUACAGUGAGUUGUAUAUGAAUAUUAAUUACAUCGUGAAUGUAAAUUUGAUUAGUAAGGAAGAACAUGAAUUAUUUACUGUUGCAUGUAAAUAUAUUUAAAUAUCUGAAGCAACUGUUUUUAACCUGGACCAGUAAUGGUAUAUCCUAGGGGAGGAGCACCCCAAAUAUAAGCAGCAUUACUGGGGGGUACAAGGGAAUCCCUUCUUUCAGCUUGGUGAAGACUGAAGGUGAUGUGUGCAGACCUAUAUGACUUUGCUGUCAUUGGUCAGUCUCAUAGCCGUAGAGACCAUUUUCAUUUUGUCUUCGUUUUGUUUUCAUUUGUUAUGUGUGCACGUGUAAAUAUGUAAAUAAUCCUGAGCGUUGGUGUGUGAAUAAAGGUGGCGGGGAGAAGAA
Molecule: long non-coding RNA, 487 nt
Organism: Colossoma macropomum (tambaqui)
Lineage: Eukaryota; Metazoa; Chordata; Actinopteri; Characiformes; Serrasalmidae
Exons: 2
Source: RefSeq, a predicted model, not a curated record